Molecule: ribosomal RNA, 542 nt
Filed under: uncultured bacterium
Lineage: Bacteria
Description: partial 16S ribosomal RNA
Rfam family: Bacterial small subunit ribosomal RNA
Source: RNAcentral
UGGGGAAUAUUGCACAAUGGGCGCAAGCCUGAUGCAGCAACGCCGCGUGAGGGAUGACGGUCUUCGGGUUGUAAACCUCUUUUAGCGGGGAAGAAGCGAAAGUGACGGUACCUGCAGAAAAAGCACCGGCUAACUACGUGCUAGCAGCCGCGGUAAUACGUAGGGUGCAAGCGUUGUCCGGAAUUAUUGGGCGUAAAGAGCUCGUAGGCGGUCUGUCGCGUCUGCUGUGAAAUCCCGAGGCUCAACCUCGGGCCUGCAGUGGGUACGGGCAGACUAGAGUGCGGUAGGGGAGAAUGGAACUCCUGGUGUAGCGGUGGAAUGCGCAGAUAUCAGGAAGAACACCGAUGGCGAAGGCAGUUCUCUGGGCCGUAACUGACGCUGAGGAGCGAAAGCGUGGGGAGCGAACAGGAUUAGAUACCCUGGUAGUCCACGCCGUAAACGUUGGGCGCUAGAUGUGGGGACCAUUCCACGGUUUCCGUGUCGCAGCUAACGCAUUAAGCGCCCCGCCUGGGGAGUACGGCCGCAAGGCUAAAACUCAAAGG